Molecule: long non-coding RNA, 581 nt
Organism: Tupaia belangeri chinensis (Chinese tree shrew)
Lineage: Eukaryota; Metazoa; Chordata; Mammalia; Scandentia; Tupaiidae
Exons: 2
Source: RefSeq, a predicted model, not a curated record
AUUGGCCCGGACGUGAGGCGCGCGGAGAUGACAUCACGGGCGCCAUUUUGGACGUUGUUCCGUGCUUCCUUCUGUCUUCGGUUUUGGUCGGCGUUCCUAAGAGGAGUUACUGAAAAGGUGGUUACACUGCAGUUCCGAAGAAAGGAACAGAACUAAAAUGCCUCCUCUUGAAACAGAUACGACGGUGGAAACCCAAGAUACAGAAAGAGUCGACUAUCAUAUGGUACAGGAGCUUAAACACCUGUGCUCAAUGAUAAAGAAGGUAAUGUCAGAGCGCUUGGACCGAAUCAGGGAAUUGAGAGAGUUAACAGAAAUGUGCAAGGAGGAUUGGCCGCAAAAUCGAAUUACUGAAGUAAAUGCAAAACAAGAGAAAUUUUCACAGAAUGCAGAGAAAGGGGGAAACUAAACCAUGAUAAAAGAAGACAAGAAGAGACCAAGAGAUACAAUCUACACAUAAUUAGACUAUCUGGAAUGGAAGACAAAACAAGUAGCUUAAACAAUUACUAAGGAACUGUUUGAACUAAAUUUCCCAGAGUUGAAGAACCAAUUAGAUCUACAAAAAGAAAAAGCUCACAGAGUAC